Molecule: long non-coding RNA, 483 nt
Filed under: Olea europaea (common olive)
Lineage: Eukaryota; Viridiplantae; Streptophyta; Magnoliopsida; Lamiales; Oleaceae
Description: long non-coding RNA (OEUR_LNC013953)
Source: RNAcentral
ACAACUUAAGAUCAAUGAACCCAAAAUGAUCAGUUUCCUACAACCAUCUAGAGCUGAAAAUUUUCACCUCGAAAUGAAGCUAUUAUUCUGAAAUAAGCAGUAACAACAUUACAAUCGGAAAAUACGACAAACUCAGAUAUCUAAAAUAGAAAAACUUCCACACUUAUUCAACAAUAGUUGAGAACAAGCCAAUUUAACAGGUAGAGAAACACAAUUAAAAAGAAAAAAGAAAAAAGACAACAAUUUAUAAAAAGCUCCUUCAAAGGCCUACGUGGAGAAUCUUCCACUUCACUAUAAGAGGAGGAAGAGAAGCCACGUAAGGAAAUGAGGCCAUGGCCUGGUCGCCGUUCGGUUGGAGUUAUUGGAGGCGACGAGCAGUCGCCAGCGCAGGACAAACCGGAGGGGAAAAACUAAUGGAAAUCCCUUUUUCCUUUUACAUCAUUAAAAAAUAAAAAUAAAAAAAAGGCCAAAAUGAGGCCCUUC